UAUUCAGCGUGGAAGGGAAACAGUAGCGGAGCGGAGCUUCGAUGCCAGAGAGCCGGCGGCAGGUGCGAGCCGGUACGACAGCCGCCCGUGAAUUACGUCCUGGAGCAUCCUCAUCCGAACCUGCCUGCGGCAGAAGGCUGAGGACGGAAGCCGACCGAUAUCCGGCAUGAGCGGAGCUUCUGCUGCCAGGCCAUUUGGCUCUGGAGAGGCUCAACCUAGGGUGGUACCGCGAUGACUCGUCCCUGUU
RNAcentral lists this non-coding RNA (247 nucleotides) under Paenibacillaceae bacterium. Its description in RNAcentral is "T-box sequence". It matches the Rfam family "T-box leader". From Rfam's summary of the family: Uncharged tRNA acts as the effector for transcription antitermination of genes in the T-box leader family. T-boxes are found upstream of many aminoacyl-tRNA synthetase genes and some amino acid biosynthetic genes usually in Gram-positive bacteria. Lineage: Bacteria; Bacillati; Bacillota; Bacilli; Caryophanales; Paenibacillaceae. The record is from RNAcentral.